Molecule: unclassified non-coding RNA, 336 nt
Filed under: soil metagenome
Description: partial contains 5.8S ribosomal RNA, internal transcribed spacer 2, and large subunit ribosomal RNA
Rfam family: 5.8S ribosomal RNA (bases 5-119)
Source: RNAcentral
GAUGAGAACGUAGCGAAAUGCGAUAAGAAGUGUGAAUUGCAGAAUUCAGUGAAUCAUCGAAUCUUUGAACGCACAUUGCGCCCCAUGGUAUUCCGUGGGGCAUGCCUGUUCGAGCGUCAUUUACCCCCUCAAGCUCCGCUUGGUGUUGGGCGUCUGUCCCGCUUCGCGCGCGGACUCGCCCCAAAGGUAUUGGCAGCGGUCGUGCCAGCUUCUCGCGCAGCACAUUGCGCUUCUCGAGGCACCGGUGGGCCCGCGUCCAUCAAGCUCACCCCCCCAGUUUGACCUCGGAUCAGGUAGGGAUACCCGCUGAACUUAAGCAUAUCAAUAAGCGGAGGA